GACGAACGCUGGCGGCGUGCUUAACACAUGCAAGUCGAACGGAAAGGCCCUGCUUUUGUGGGGUGCUCGAGUGGCGAACGGGUGAGUAACACGUGAGUAACCUGCCCUCGACUUUGGGAUAACUUCAGGAAACUGGGGCUAAUACCGGAUAGGAGCUCCUGCUGCAUGGUGGGGGUUGGAAAGUUUCGGCGGUUGGGGAUGGACUCGCGGCUUAUCAGCUUGUUGGUGGGGUAGUGGCUUACCAAGGCUUUGACGGGUAGCCGGCCUGAGAGGGUGACCGGCCACAUUGGGACUGAGAUACGGCCCAGACUCCUACGGGAGGCAGCAGUGGGGAAUAUUGCACAAUGGGCGGAAGCCUGAUGCAGCAACGCCGCGUGCGGGAUGACGGCCUUCGGGCUGUAAACCGCUUUCGCCUGUGACGAAGCGUGAGUGACGGUAAUGGGUAAAGAAGCACCGGCUAACUACGUG
This 468-nucleotide ribosomal RNA is filed under the name uncultured bacterium. RNAcentral describes it as "partial 16S ribosomal RNA". It matches the Rfam family "Bacterial small subunit ribosomal RNA", at positions 28 to 507 of the family's 1533-position model. The record is from RNAcentral.